GAUUCCUGGAAAGUUUUCUUCUGCAUUUGAUUCUGGUUUUCCUUACUUGGGAAGCCCACUUCAAAAUCCACCUGUGGUUAGAGCUACUGGGCAACUGUCAACAAAUCAUUCCAUAAAUGUAUCCUUCGAUAGACAUGGUCCCUCUUCUGCAGAAAAAGGUGAUUCUCACAGAGGGCCUGGAAGUGGUCAACCUGUACAGUCUUCCAUCCCCAAAGGGACUGGUGAUGAUAAACAGGAUAACCCUUCAAUCUCUGCCGGUAAGUCUCAUUUAAGUAAUGUGAAUGGUCCCCAUCAAAGGAUCUCUGCAAAUCAAGUUUCAUCGAAAGAGCCACGAUCAGUUUCUCAGCCUAUUUCAACGUCUGGCACCACACAGCAGGGUGCAUAUUCAAAAAUGUUCUCUAAUAUGUGGACCAAUUUUCCACCACGGCAGCCCCCUUUUGUUGCUCAAUCCACCAAGGAGCCUUCUCACAUUCACCAGUCACAUCAGUUGAAUAAUAUGGAGUCA
This 505-nucleotide unclassified non-coding RNA is filed under the name Hevea brasiliensis (rubber tree). Lineage: Eukaryota; Viridiplantae; Streptophyta; Magnoliopsida; Malpighiales; Euphorbiaceae. The record is from RNAcentral.